UACGUAGGCAGCGAGCGUUGUUCGGAGUUACUGGGCGUAAAGCGUGCGUAGGCGGUAGUCCAAGUCUGGUGUGAAAUCUCCCGGCUUAACUGGGAGGGUGCGCCGGAAACUGGGCUGCUGGAGUGCGGGAGAGGUAAGCGGAAUUCCCGGUGUAGCGGUGGAAUGCGCAGAUAUCAGGAGGAACACCAAUAGCGAAGGCAGCUCGCUGGGACGGUACUGACGCUAAGGCGCGAAAGCGUGGGGAGCGAACAGG
Molecule: ribosomal RNA, 253 nt
Filed under: uncultured bacterium
Lineage: Bacteria
Description: partial 16S ribosomal RNA
Rfam family: Bacterial small subunit ribosomal RNA
Source: RNAcentral